UACAGAGGGUGCUAGCGUUGUCCGGAUUUAUUGGGCGUAAAGAGCGUGUAGGCGGCCGCACAGGUCCGUUGUGAAAACUGGAGGCUUAACCUUCAGACGUCGAUGGAAACCGUGCGGCUAGAGUCCGGAAGAGGAGAAUGGAAUUCCUGGUGUAGCGGUGAAAUGCGCAGAUAUCAGGAAGAACACCCGUGGCUAAGGCGGUUCUCUAGUACGGUACUGACGCUGAGACGCGAAAGCGUGGGGAGCGAACAGG
RNAcentral lists this ribosomal RNA (253 nucleotides) under uncultured bacterium. Its description in RNAcentral is "partial 16S ribosomal RNA". It matches the Rfam family "Bacterial small subunit ribosomal RNA", at positions 524 to 776 of the family's 1533-position model. The record is from RNAcentral.